Molecule: ribosomal RNA, 228 nt
Filed under: uncultured soil bacterium
Lineage: Bacteria
Description: partial 16S ribosomal RNA
Rfam family: Bacterial small subunit ribosomal RNA
Source: RNAcentral
AGGACGAACGCUGGCGGCGUGCUUAACACAUGCAAGUCGAGCGGUAAGGCCUUUCGGGGUACACGAGCGGCGAACGGGUGAGUAACACGUGGGUGAUCUGCCCUGCACUUCGGGAUAAGCCUGGGAAACUGGGGUCUAAUACCGGAUAUGACCUCCUAUCGCAUGGUGGGUGGUGGAAAGAUUUAUCGGUGCAGGAUGGGCCCGCGGCCUAUCAGCUUGUUGGUGGGG